This 292-nucleotide ribosomal RNA is filed under the name uncultured bacterium. RNAcentral describes it as "partial 16S ribosomal RNA". It matches the Rfam family "Bacterial small subunit ribosomal RNA", at positions 505 to 796 of the family's 1533-position model. The record is from RNAcentral.
GUGUCAGCAGCCGCGGUAAUACGUAGGGGGCUAGCGUUGUCCGGAUUUAUUGGGCGUAAAGAGCGUGUAGGCGGCUUGGUAGGUCUGCUGUGAAAACUCGAGGCUCAACCUCGAGCGGUCGGCGGAAACCACUUGGCUAGAGUCCGGAAGAGGAGAGUGGAAUUCCUGGUGUAGCGGUGAAAUGCGCAGAUAUCAGGAAGAACACCUAUGGCGAAGGCAGCUCUCUGGGACGGUACUGACGCUGAGACGCGAAAGCGUGGGGAGCGAACAGGAUUAGAAACCCGUGUAGUCC